UAACUUUUUUAGGUUAAGUUAUUAAGGGCGCACGGUGGAUGCCUUGGCACUAGGAGCCGAAGAAGGACGGCACUAACACCGAUAUGCUUCGGGGAGCUGUAAGUAAGCUUUGAUCCGGAGAUUUCCGAAUGGGGGAACCCACUGUUCGUAAUGGAACAGUAUCUUGACGUGAAUUCAUAGCGUCUUGAAGGCAGACCCAGGGAACUGAAACAUCUAAGUACCUGGAGGAAGAGAAAGAAAAUAUUCGAUUCCCUGAGUAGCGGCGAGCGAAACGGGAAAAGCCCAAACCAAGAGGCUUGCCUCUUGGGGUUGUAGGACACUCUAUAUGGAGUUACAAAGGAAUGAAUUAGGCGAAGCGAUCUGGAAAGGUCCGCCAUAGCGGGUAAAAGCCCUGUAGUCGAAAGUUCAUUCUCUCUUGAGUGUAUCCUGAGUACGGCGGAACACGUGAAAUUCCGUCGGAAUCCGGGAGGACCAUCUCCCAAGGCUAAAUACUACCUAGUGACCGAUAGUGAACCAGUACCGUGAGGGAAAGGUGAAAAGCACCCCGGGAGGGGAGUGAAAUAGAACCUGAAACCGUGUGCCUACAAGUAGUUAGAGCCCGUUAAUGGGUGAUAGCGUGCCUUUUGUAGAAUGAACCGGCGAGUUACGAUUACGUGCAAGGUUAAGAUGAGAAGUCGGAGCCGUAGCGAAAGCGAGUCUGAAUAGGGCGAAUGAGUACGUGGUCGUAGACCCGAAACCAGGUGAUCUACCCAUGUCCAGGGUGAAGGUGAGGUAACACUCACUGGAGGCCCGAACCCACGCACGUUGAAAAGUGCGGGGAUGAGGUGUGGGUAGCGGAGAAAUUCCAAUCGAACUUGGAGAUAGCUGGUUCUCUCCGAAAUAGCUUUAGGGCUAGCCUCGUGAUGAGAAUACUGGAGGUAGAGCACUGUUUGGACUAGGGGGGCAUCUCGCUUUACCGAAUUCAGACAAACUCCGAAUGCCAGAUAUUUAUACACGGGAGUCAGACUGCGAGUGAUAAGAUCCGUAGUCAAGAGGGAAACAGCCCAGACCACCAGCUAAGGUCCCAAAGUAAUCGUUAAGUGGAAAAGGAUGUGGCGUUGCUUAGACAACCAGGAUGUUGGCUUAGAAGCAGCCAUCAUUUAAAGAGUGCGUAAUAGCUCACUGGUCGAGUGACACUGCGCCGAAAAUGUAUCGGGGCUAAACGAUUCACCGAAGCUGUGGAUUCGCAUCGAAUGAUGCGAGUGGUAGGAGAGCGUUCUAAGUGCGUUGAAGUCAGACCGGAAGGACUGGUGGAGCGCUUAGAAGUGAGAAUGCCGGUAUGAGUAGCGAAAGAUGGGUGAGAAUCCCAUCCACCGUAUGACUAAGGUUUCCUGAGGAAGGCUCGUCCGCUCAGGGUUAGUCGGGACCUAAGUCGAGGCCGACAGGCGUAGACGAUGGACAACAGGUUGAUAUUCCUGUACCACCUCCCCGCCGUUUGAGUAAUGGGGGGACGCAGUAGGAUAAGAUAAGCGUACCGUUGGUUGAGUACGCCCAAGCAGUAAGGCGUGGAAGUAGGCAAAUCCGCUUCCUGUAACGUUGAGCUGUGAUGGGGAGCUAAUUUNNNNNNNNNNNNNNNNNNNNNNNNNNNNNNNNNNNNNNNNNNNNNNNNNNNNNNNNNNNNNNNNNNNNNNNNNNNNNNNNNNNNNNNNNAGCGAAGUAUCUGAUUUCACGCUGCCAAGAAAAGCCUCUAGCGAGGCGGGAGGUGCCCGUACCGCAAACCGACACAGGUAGUCGAGGAGAGAAUCCUAAGGUGUGCGAGAGAACUCUCGUUAAGGAACUCGGCAAAAUGACCCCGUAACUUCGGGAGAAGGGGUGCUCUCGCAAGAGAGCCGCAGUGAAUAGGCCCAGGCGACUGUUUAGCAAAAACACAGGUCUCUGCAAAACCGUAAGGUGACGUAUAGGGGCUGACGCCUGCCCGGUGCUGGAAGGUUAAGAGGAGGGGUUAGCGCAAGCGAAGCUCUGAAUUGAAGCCCCAGUAAACGGCGGCCGUAACUAUAACGGUCCUAAGGUAGCGAAAUUCCUUGUCGGGUAAGUUCCGACCCGCACGAAAGGCGUAACGAUCUGGGCACUGUCUCAACGAGAGACUCGGUGAAAUUAUAGUACCUGUGAAGAUGCAGGUUACCCGCGACAGGACGGAAAGACCCCGUGGAGCUUUACUGUAGCCUGAUAUUGAAUUUUGGUACAACUUGUACAGGAUAGGUAGGAGCCAGAGAACUCGGAGCGCCAGCUUCGAGGGAGGCGUCGGUGGGAUACUACCCUGGUUGUAUUGAAAUUCUAACCCAUGCCCGUAAGCCGGGCAGGAGACAGUGUCAGGUGGACAGUUUGACUGGGGCGGUCGCCUCCUAAAAGGUAACGGAGGCGCCCAAAGGUUCCCUCAGAAUGGUUGGAAAUCAUUCGUAGAGUGUAAAGGCACAAGGGAGCUUGACUGCGAGACCUACAAGUCGAGCAGGGUCGAAAGACGGGCUUAGUGAUCCGGUGGUUCCGCAUGGAAGGGCCAUCGCUCAACGGAUAAAAGCUACCCCGGGGAUAACAGGCUUAUCUCCCCCAAGAGUCCACAUCGACGGGGAGGUUUGGCACCUCGAUGUCGGCUCAUCGCAUCCUGGGGCUGUAGUCGGUCCCAAGGGUUGGGCUGUUCGCCCAUUAAAGCGGUACGCGAGCUGGGUUCAGAACGUCGUGAGACAGUUCGGUCCCUAUCCGUCGUGGGCGUAGGAAAUUUGAGAGGAGCUGUCCUUAGUACGAGAGGACCGGGAUGGACACACCGCUGGUGUACCAGUUGUCAAGCCAUUGGCAUCGCUGGGUAGCUAUGUGUGGACGGGAUAAGUGCUGAAAGCAUCUAAGCAUGAAGCCCCCCUCAAGAUGAGAUUUCCCAUUACGCAAGUAAGUAAGAUCCCUCAAAGACGAUGAGGUAGAUAGGUUCGAGGUGGAAGUGUGGCGACACAUGGAGCUGACGAAUACUAAUCGAUCGAGGACUUAACCAA
RNAcentral lists this ribosomal RNA (3017 nucleotides) under Ureibacillus yapensis. RNAcentral's name for it is "Lysinibacillus sp. YLB-03 partial 23S ribosomal RNA". It matches the Rfam family "Bacterial large subunit ribosomal RNA". Lineage: Bacteria; Bacillati; Bacillota; Bacilli; Caryophanales; Caryophanaceae. The record is from RNAcentral.